UACGACGGGGGCUAGCGUUGUUCGGAUUUACUGGGCGUAAAGCGCACGUAGGCGGAUCGAUCAGUCAGGGGUGAAAUCCCAGAGCUCAACUCUGGAACUGCCUUUGAUACUGUCGAUCUGGAGUAUGGAAGAGGUGAGUGGAAUUCCGAGUGUAGAGGUGAAAUUCGUAGAUAUUCGGAGGAACACCAGUGGCGAAGGCGGCUCACUGGUCCAUUACUGACGCUGAGGAGCGAAAGCGUGGGGAGCGAACAGG
Molecule: ribosomal RNA, 253 nt
Filed under: uncultured bacterium
Lineage: Bacteria
Description: partial 16S ribosomal RNA
Rfam family: Bacterial small subunit ribosomal RNA
Source: RNAcentral